UUUUAUGUAAUGAGAGUGAGAUUUAUGGGAUUAUGCGCAUGCAAAACUUGUUAUGUUUUUUUUCUUCUUUUUUAAAAAAUUGUCCAUGAGGUGUAAUAUUAUGCUUAGCUAGUUCUGGUUGAUAAUAUUGCAACAUGCAAAAUCAUGAAAAAUACAAAUGUUGAAUUGAACGACAUAAUUAUUCUACCAAGAAACAUGGCCUAACUAUGAAAAUUGCGAAAAUCAUGUAUAUAUGGG
RNAcentral lists this long non-coding RNA (237 nucleotides) under Capsella rubella. RNAcentral describes it as "long non-coding RNA (CRUB_LNC002001)". Lineage: Eukaryota; Viridiplantae; Streptophyta; Magnoliopsida; Brassicales; Brassicaceae. The record is from RNAcentral.